UCCCUGGUGGUCUGGUGACUAAGACUCUGUGCUUCCAAUGCAGGGGUCUUGGGUUCAAUCCCCAGUCAAGGAA
This 73-nucleotide transfer RNA is filed under the name Bos taurus (domestic cattle). It matches the Rfam family "tRNA". Rfam says of the family: Transfer RNA (tRNA) molecules are approximately 80 nucleotides in length. The record is from Rfam by way of RNAcentral. Lineage: Eukaryota; Metazoa; Chordata; Mammalia; Artiodactyla; Bovidae. RNAcentral also lists the same sequence under 2 other names.